AGGGGAGAGNGGAAUUCCAUGUGUAGCGGUGAAAUGCGUAGAUAUAUGGAGGAACACCGGUGGCGAAAGCGGCUCUCUGGUCUGUAACUGACGCUGAGGCUCGAAAGCGUGGGGAGCAANCAGGAUUAGAUACCCUGGUAGUCCACGCCGUAAACGAUGAGUGCUAGGUGUUGGGUCCUUUCCGGGACUCAGUGCCGCAGCUAACGCAUUAAGCACUCCGCCUGGGGAGUACGACCGCAAGGUUGAAACUCAAAGGAAUUGACGGGGGCCCGCACAAGCGGUGGAGCAUGUGGUUUAAUUCGAAGCAACGCGAAGAACCUUACCAGGUCUUGACAUCCCUCUGACCGCUCUAGAGAUAGAGUUUUCCUUCGGGACAGAGGUGACAGGUGGUGCAUGGUUGUCGUCAGCUCGUGUCGUGAGAUGUUGGGUUAAGUCCCGCAACGAGCACAACCCCUAUUGUUAGUUGCCAUCAUUGAGUUGGGCACUCUAGCGAGACUGCCGGUAAUAAACCGGAGGAAGGUGGGGAUGACGUCAAAUCAUCAUGCCCCUUAUGACCUGGGCUACACACGUGCUACAAUGGCUGGUACAACGAGUCGCGAGUCGGUGACGGCAAGCUAAUCUCUUAAAGCCAGUCUCAGUUCGGAUUGUAGGCUGCAACUCGCCUACAUGAAGUCGGAAUCGCUAGUAAUCGCGGAUCAGCACGCCGCGGUGAAUACGUUCCCGGGCCUUGUACACACCGCCCGUCACACCACGAGAGUUUGUAACACCCGAAGUCGGUGAGGUAACCGUAAGGAG
RNAcentral lists this ribosomal RNA (795 nucleotides) under uncultured bacterium. RNAcentral's name for it is "bacterial SSU rRNA". It matches the Rfam family "Bacterial small subunit ribosomal RNA", at positions 653 to 1448 of the family's 1533-position model. The record is from RNAcentral.